Molecule: long non-coding RNA, 332 nt
Organism: Empidonax traillii (willow flycatcher)
Lineage: Eukaryota; Metazoa; Chordata; Aves; Passeriformes; Tyrannidae
Exons: 2
Source: RefSeq, a predicted model, not a curated record
AGAAGGAAGAAGGAGCUGGAGCUGCUGAGGAAGAGCCUGAGCCUGGGAAAUACCAGAACCCCUUCCAGCCUCUAUCUGCUGUAAUCUCUGAGAAUGAAAAACAAAUGGAAAAGGAAAAGAAGAGGCAAAGGUUGGAGACUGAACAGGCUACAAUUGUCCUGAAAGCACAAACAGAGCAGGACCAGGUGGAUGCCCAGCACUUGUCAAGGAGCAGCAGCCAAAACACAACUGAGAGCAGCCUAGAAAUGUGCAAUUCUGCAACUGCCCAGCUUGUGCAGCACUCGGAAGAGAAUGAUCAGCAAGCCUCGGAAUGCCUUGACUCAGGUAAAACU